This 200-nucleotide unclassified non-coding RNA is filed under the name uncultured Cleistothelebolus. Its description in RNAcentral is "sequence contains ITS2". Lineage: Eukaryota; Fungi; Ascomycota; Leotiomycetes. The record is from RNAcentral.
UUAAGUUCAGCGGGUAUCCCUACCUGAUCCGAGGUCAACCUGAAAAAUUGGGGUUACUGGCAAGCACACACCCGGGUCUCCGAAGCGAGAAGAAUUACUACGCUUGAAGCCGAAUGGCACCACCACUGAUUUUAAGGCCUGCCGAAACUCAGCAGGGCCCAAUACCAAGCAGAGCUUGAGGGUUGUAAUGACGCUCGAAC